GAAACGACUCUCGACAACGGAUAUCUCGGCUCUCGCAUCGAUGAAGAACGUAGCGAAAUGCGAUACUUGGUGUGAAUUGCAGAAUCCCGUGAACCAUCGAGUCUUUGAACGCAAGUUGCGCCCCAAGCCGUCAGGCCGAGGGCACGUCUGCCUGGGUGUCACAC
This 164-nucleotide ribosomal RNA is filed under the name Oxalis incana. Its description in RNAcentral is "5.8S ribosomal RNA". It matches the Rfam family "5.8S ribosomal RNA". Rfam says of the family: 5.8S ribosomal RNA (5.8S rRNA) is a component of the large subunit of the eukaryotic ribosome. It is transcribed by RNA polymerase I as part of the 45S precursor that also contains 18S and 28S rRNA. The record is from RNAcentral. Lineage: Eukaryota; Viridiplantae; Streptophyta; Magnoliopsida; Oxalidales; Oxalidaceae.